RNAcentral lists this unclassified non-coding RNA (305 nucleotides) under plant metagenome. RNAcentral's name for it is "partial contains 5.8S ribosomal RNA, internal transcribed spacer 2, and large subunit ribosomal RNA". The stretch from base 1 to 105 matches the Rfam family "5.8S ribosomal RNA", at positions 50 to 154 of the family's 154-position model. The record is from RNAcentral.
GAAAUGCGAUAAGUAAUGUGAAUUGCAGAAUUCAGUGAUUCAUCGAAUCUUUGAACGCACAUUGCGCCCGCCAGUAUUCUGGCGGGCAUGCCUGUUCGAGCGUCAUUUCAACCAUCAAGCCCCCGGCUUGUGUUGGGGACCUGCGGCUGCCCGCAGGCCCUGAAAAACAGUGGCGGGCUCGCUGUCACACCGAGCGUAGUAGCAUACAUUCUCGCUCAGGGCGUGCUGCGGGUUCCGGCCGUUAAACGACCUUCAUAACCCAAGGUUGACCUCGGAUCAGGUAGGAAGACCCGCUGAACUUAAGC